UGGGGAAUCUUGCGCAAUGGGCGAAAGCCUGACGCAGCAACGCCGCGUGGGGGAUGAAGGCUCUCGGGUUGUAAACCCCUUUCAGCAGGGACGAUUAUGACGGUACCUGCAGAAGAAGGACCGGCCAACUACGUGCCAGCAGCCGCGGUAAUACGUAGGGUCCAAGCGUUGUCCGGAUUUAUUGGGCGUAAAGAGCUCGUAGGCGGCUUAGUAAGUCGGAUGUGAAAACUCGGGGCUCAACCCCGAGACGCCAUCCGAUACUGCUGUGGCUUGAGUCUGGUAGGGGAACACGGAAUUCCUGGUGUAGCGGUGAAAUGCGCAGAUAUCAGGAGGAACACCGAUGGCGAAGGCAGUGUUCUGGGCCAGUACUGACGCUGAGGAGCGAAAGCGUGGGGAGCAAAC
Molecule: ribosomal RNA, 402 nt
Filed under: uncultured bacterium
Lineage: Bacteria
Description: bacterial SSU rRNA
Rfam family: Bacterial small subunit ribosomal RNA
Source: RNAcentral